CGGUGGUGAUGUCCAGUCUCACGAUGGUCUGCAGAGCCCUGGCUGCGCGGGGGCUGCUGACAGCGCCAACGGCACCUGCUGAACCGCGGCG
RNAcentral lists this small nucleolar RNA (91 nucleotides) under Patagioenas fasciata monilis. RNAcentral describes it as "Small nucleolar RNA SNORD35". It matches the Rfam family "Small nucleolar RNA SNORD35". Rfam says of the family: U35 is a C/D box snoRNA located in intron 6 of ribosomal protein L13A and intron 3 of ribosomal protein S11 in humans and at homologous positions in mouse and chicken ribosomal protein genes. U35 guides the methylation of 2'-O-ribose sites in 28S rRNA. The record is from Rfam by way of RNAcentral. Lineage: Eukaryota; Metazoa; Chordata; Aves; Columbiformes; Columbidae.